UCCCUUUUGGCUUAGCUGGUAAAGAAUCUGCCUGCAAUGCAGGAGACUUGGGUUCGAUCCCUGGGUUGGGAA
This is a non-coding RNA of Bos taurus (domestic cattle), 72 nucleotides long. Lineage: Eukaryota; Metazoa; Chordata; Mammalia; Artiodactyla; Bovidae. The record is from Rfam.